Molecule: ribosomal RNA, 496 nt
Filed under: uncultured bacterium
Lineage: Bacteria
Description: partial 16S ribosomal RNA
Rfam family: Bacterial small subunit ribosomal RNA
Source: RNAcentral
AUGAACGCUGGCGGCGUGCCUAAUACAUGCAAGUCGAGCGAACAGACGAGGAGCUUGCUCCUCUGACGUUAGCGGCGGACGGGUGAGUAACACGUGGAUAACCUACCUAUAAGACUGGGAUAACUUCGGGAAACCGGGGCUAAUACCGGAUAAUAUAUUGAACCGCAUGGUUCAAUAGUGAAAGACGGUUUUGCUGUCACUUAUAGAUGGAUCCGCGCCGCAUUAGCUAGUUGGUAAGGUAACGGCUUACCAAGGCAACGAUGCGUAGCCGACCUGAGAGGGUGAUCGGCCACACUGGAACUGAGACACGGUCCAGACUCCUACGGGAGGCAGCAGUAGGGAAUCUUCCGCAAUGGGCGAAAGCUUGACGGAGCAACGCCGCGUGAGUGAUGAAGGUCUUCGGAUCGUAAAACUCUGUUAUUAGGGAAGAACAAAUGUGUAAGUAACUAUGCACGUCUUGACGGUACCUAAUCAGAAAGCCACGGCUAACUACGUG